Molecule: transfer RNA, 74 nt
Filed under: Myxococcales bacterium
Lineage: Bacteria; Pseudomonadati; Myxococcota; Myxococcia; Myxococcales
Description: tRNA-Gln
Rfam family: tRNA
About the family: Transfer RNA (tRNA) molecules are approximately 80 nucleotides in length. Their secondary structure includes four short double-helical elements and three loops (D, anti-codon, and T loops).
Source: RNAcentral
UGGGGCAUCGUCUAAAGGCAGGACUGAGGACUUUGAAUCCUCCUAUCUAGGUUCGAAUCCUAGUGCCCCAGCAA